AACGUAGGUACCGAGCGUUAUCCGGAUUUACUGGGCGUAAAGCGCGUUCAGGCGGUUUGGCAAGUCGGGCCUGAAAUCUCUCGGCUCAACCGGGAGAGGUUGUCCGAUACUGCUGGACUUGAGGGCAGUAGAGGGUGGUGGAAUUCCGGGUGUAGUGGUGAAAUGCGUAGAUAUCCGGAGGAACACCAGUGGCGAAAGCGGCCACCUGGACUGUACCUGACGCUAACACGCGAAAGCUAGGGGAGCGAACGGG
RNAcentral lists this ribosomal RNA (253 nucleotides) under uncultured bacterium. Its description in RNAcentral is "partial 16S ribosomal RNA". It matches the Rfam family "Bacterial small subunit ribosomal RNA", at positions 524 to 776 of the family's 1533-position model. The record is from RNAcentral.